RNAcentral lists this ribosomal RNA (222 nucleotides) under uncultured bacterium. Its description in RNAcentral is "partial 16S ribosomal RNA". It matches the Rfam family "Bacterial small subunit ribosomal RNA", at positions 109 to 334 of the family's 1533-position model. The record is from RNAcentral.
AGUAAUGUCUGGGAAACUGCCUGAUGGAGGGGGAUAAUUACUGGAAACGGUAGCUAAUACCGCAUAACGUCGCAAGACCAAAGUGGGGGACCUUCGGGCCUCAUGCCAUCAGAUGUGCCCAGAUGGGAUUAGCUAGUAGGUGGGGUAACGGCUCACCUAGGCGACGAUCCCUAGCUGGUCUGAGAGGAUGACCAGCCACACUGGAACUGAGACACGGUCCAG